This 1450-nucleotide long non-coding RNA is filed under the name Equus caballus (horse). Its description in RNAcentral is "lncRNA (ENSECAG00000044137.1)". Lineage: Eukaryota; Metazoa; Chordata; Mammalia; Perissodactyla; Equidae. The record is from RNAcentral.
GGAGGGACAAGGAGUGGCAGAUGCCCACAUCCUGGAGAUGGUGUUGGAGGAGCCAGAGAAGCAACUUCCUUCUGAAACGUCCGGACUCAGGUCUGACCUUCGGAGCCAGGGAACAACAUCACACAGCUGCUCAGGCUGGAGACCCAGGAGUGCAGCUGGCCCAAGUCCCAGUCCGAGUCCAAAGGGAGGAGAAGGCCGACGUCCCAGCUCGAAGACAGUCGGGCACAGAGCGAAUUCUCCCUCCUCAGCCCUUCGGUUCCAUUCAGGCCUCAGUGGGUCUGAAGAUGCCCACCGACACUGGGGAGGGCUUUACUCCGUCUGCAAGGCCAAAUGCUAAUCUCACCCAGAAACACCCUCAUGGACAUACCCAGGAUCUUGUUUAGCUGAAUCUCUGGGCGCCCCUGGCCAGAGAUGGACACAUAAAUUUGUGUCACGCCCGGAGUCUUCCCAGCGAUUGGACUUUUGAGGAAAAGUUUCCAGCAGUCACGUUUUUCACCGUGCUGUUGCUCUUGACGGCCCAAAGGACUCUUCAGUGCCUGGGACCCUCACGGUUUCAAAAACGUUAUUCAGAAAUAUUCUAAUUUUGUGCCGUAUGAGGUGCUUCCAAAUCUGUAACUAACUAAUCAAGCUCCGUCACUCAGGGGACAUUUUUUGCGCCUUGCCCUCUCUGAUCGGGGUUGGGCUGGAUGCAGGGACGCAUGGUUGGGGUCGGAGAUUCAGGGAUUCAAGGCCCAUCUCCAGUGGCCAGGCCUGGACUGGCCCCGUCCAGAGUUGCUCCUUCCCCGCUCCGCCCAGUUAACUCUUCUCCGUAGGCGUGCCGCCUGCUCCUGUCCCUGGGUCCUCUGGCCUCCUCCCUUCCUGAUGCAAUUCCUGAUGCACCCGGGGCCUCCGAGGCCCUUCCGUCCAUCAGCGUCCCAUGCUGACCUGCCGUGACAGCUCUCCUCCUUCCAACAUUGCGGACUCUGGAGAAUUAGCGAGCAACCUGUAAAGAGCUCCGAGGGCCGGAUUUGGGCUGGACUUGGGGGCCGUGCUUAGGAAAUUCCUCAAGGUGACAGUUAUCAAUUUCGUAAACUGUCUUUUCCGCUUCACUAAAUUCUAUUUUGCUCCCUUGAAAGGCGGCCGGGCUAAGGAUUAACCACAUUGUGGUUGGUUUGCAAUAUUUAAAUUCCAGACUGACUGACUCACAUGUUUCACAGCCUCCUCCAGGACGGUUUCUUUCCACUGUAGUCGCUCGUGCAGGUGAUGGAUGGCCCUUGAACUAUUUAAAAAGAAUCAAAGUAUUAAUUAUAAAUUUAAACAGAACAGUCAGAAAAUCUCUCUGAUCCAAUCGUCUCAUUUAUUGCCUCCUGUUUUACAUUAUUCACAGGCUUGCUAGCCUUUUUUUUUUUUUUGGAGAGGAAGAUUGUCGCUGAGCUAACAUCUGUGCCGACCAUCGUCUGUUUUAUGUGGG